AUGCCUCUCAUUUUGUGGAAGUCUAGUUUAUGUCCACAGCAUUUUCUUUUUUCUUUGAAAGAGAACAUUGCUGCCCAGACUCAAAACCAGUUUGUGACUUUCCUGCUGCCAAGUAUCAGGUGUCUAAAUCCUGGGUACAUGCACCCCUCCAGUCAGUUUCUCAUAGCAGCCAGGCAAACUGAGGUGGAGAAAAACUUUGAAUAUAUGAAAGAAGACACUUCUAAGAGUGAUGAUGAACAUGACUUGAAAAUAGCAGGCCUUUCCUCAACACAUGGCAGAGCAAACAUGGUUGGUAUCUAUGUUAAGAAGAGGCAGUGUGGAAAUCACACUUAUUUGACAAGAUAAGAAAGUCCUAAAAUAUAACAACUGAGUAUCUUAUGUUUUCAUAUUGAUGUGCAAGUGGUGACUAAUUCAUGUUUUUUAUUUAUACACCUAAUAUGCACAAGCAUCUAAUUAGCUGAAAGCAAAC
Molecule: long non-coding RNA, 469 nt
Filed under: Lonchura striata (white-rumped munia)
Lineage: Eukaryota; Metazoa; Chordata; Aves; Passeriformes; Estrildidae
Description: domestica (Bengalese finch) lncRNA (ENSLSDG00000006077.1)
Source: RNAcentral